AUGGUUGAAUGAGGAAUAAACUUUUUUAAUAGAAAAAUUGAAUUUUACAUUUUAAUUAAAAGGUUAAAAUAUAUUUAAAAGACGAGAAGACCCUAUAGAGUUUUAUAAUUUAUAUUUAAUGUUAAAAAAAAUUAAUAAAUAUUUUUAUUUAAAUAAUUAUUUUGUUGGGGUGAUGAUAAAAUUUAAUUAACUUUUAUUUUUUUUUACAUUAAUAAAUGAAUAAUUGAUCCACUAAUAGUGAUUAAAAAAUUAAAUUACCUUAGGGAUAACAGCGUAAUUUUUUUUUUAAGUUCAUAUUAAUAAAAAAUUUUG
This 312-nucleotide ribosomal RNA is filed under the name Pseudolycoriella sudhausi. RNAcentral's name for it is "partial 16S ribosomal RNA". The record is from RNAcentral. Lineage: Eukaryota; Metazoa; Arthropoda; Insecta; Diptera; Sciaridae.